RNAcentral lists this ribosomal RNA (587 nucleotides) under uncultured bacterium. RNAcentral describes it as "partial 16S ribosomal RNA". It matches the Rfam family "Bacterial small subunit ribosomal RNA", at positions 355 to 1375 of the family's 1533-position model. The record is from RNAcentral.
UGGGGAAUUUUGGACAAUGGGCGAAAGCCUGAUCCAGCAAUGCCGCGUGUGUGAAGAAGGCCUUCGGGUUGUAAAGCACUUUUGUCCGGAAAGAAAUCCUUGGCUCUAAUACAGUCGGGGGAUGACGGUACCGGAAGAAUAAGCACCGGCUAACUACGUGCCAGCAGCCGCGGUAAUACGUAGGGUGCAAGCGUUAAUCGGAAUUACUGGGCGUAAAGCGUGCGCAGGCGGUUUGCUAAGACCGAUGUGAAAUCCCCGGGCUCAACCUGGGAACUGCAUUGGUGACUGGCAGGCUAGAGUAUGGCAGAGGGGGGUAGAAUUCCACGUGUAGCAGUGAAAUGCGCAGAGAUGUGGAGGAAUACCGAUGGCGAAGGCAGCCCCCUGGGCCAAUACUGACGCUCAUGCACGAAAGCGUGGGGAGCAAACAGGAUUAGAUACCCUGGUAGUCCAGCGCCCUAAAACGAUGUCAACUAGUUGUUGGGGAUUCAUUUCCUUAGUAACGUAGCUAACGCGUGAAGUUGACCGCCUGGGGAGUACGGUCGCAAGAUUAAAACUCAAAUGAAUUGACGGGGUCAUAGCUGUUUCCU